CGGGCAAUAGCCCAGUUGUAGAGCUCUCGCUUCGUGGGCGGGGAGACCUGGGUUCGAUUCCCGGUUGCUUAC
Molecule: transfer RNA, 72 nt
Filed under: Toxocara canis (dog roundworm)
Lineage: Eukaryota; Metazoa; Nematoda; Chromadorea; Rhabditida; Toxocaridae
Rfam family: tRNA
About the family: Transfer RNA (tRNA) molecules are approximately 80 nucleotides in length. Their secondary structure includes four short double-helical elements and three loops (D, anti-codon, and T loops).
Source: Rfam by way of RNAcentral